CCUACGGGGGGCUGCAGUCGAGAAUAGUCUACAAUGGACGAAAGUCUGAUAGUGCGACGCCGCGUGAACGAAGAAGCCCUUCGGGGUGUAAAGUUCUUUUAUAUGUGAGCAAUGCUUCUUAGGUGAAUAGUUUAAGGAGAGAGAUAUUAGCAUAUGAAUAAGCAACGGCUAACUCCGUGCCAGCAGCCGCGGUAACACGGGGGUUGCAAGCGUUGUCCGGAAUUACUAGGCGUAAAGGGCAGGUAGGCGGAUAGAUAAGUUUGAUGUUUAAGGCAGCGGCUCACCCGCUGUAAGGCAUCAGAUACUGUUUAUCUGGAAUACGGUUGGGGAAGACAGAAUUCCUGGUGUAGCGGUGGAAUGCGCAGAGAUCAGGAGGAAUACCGAAGGCGAAGGCAGUCUUCUAAGCCGUUAUUGACGCUAAACUGCGAAGGUGUGGGUAUCAAACAGGAUUAGAUACCCUGGUAGUC
RNAcentral lists this ribosomal RNA (467 nucleotides) under uncultured bacterium. Its description in RNAcentral is "bacterial SSU rRNA". It matches the Rfam family "Bacterial small subunit ribosomal RNA", at positions 338 to 795 of the family's 1533-position model. The record is from RNAcentral.